AUGGGGACCAGGAGGGCGUGCAGCGUCGUGGCGGCGUGCGUGGCGGCGGUGGGGCUAGCGGGCGCCGGCGUGCUGGUGUGGUGGGCGGUGGCGUUCCACCCGGCGCGGGAGCAGCUCUGGAUGGUGCCCGUUGGGCUCGUCCUCCUCGGCACGCCGCUCGUCGCUUGGCUCUCCCUCUUUGCCUCCGCCUCGGGACCAGCCUCCUCUGCAUGCCGAGCUGCACGGGGAGGAGCCGUGGCCGGAGCUCGCAGUCACCGCGCAUGGCUGGGGCGGAGCUCACCUGCGCCCCCCUGUGUGUGGCCGAGGCGGCCCGCACCCGCGCCCGCCUGUGCGUGGCGGAGCUCAGCCGCGCCCGUCCGCCUGGGAGUUACCCUACUCUGGGUCGCGGACGACAUCUCCGUCAAGGCCGAAGCUGGCCGCAACAAGGCCGGCGCUUCGCGUGCCCGGCGCGGAGCUCGCGCUCGCGCGGCCUGA
This 474-nucleotide ribosomal RNA is filed under the name Triticum aestivum (bread wheat). RNAcentral describes it as "partial small subunit ribosomal RNA". The record is from RNAcentral. Lineage: Eukaryota; Viridiplantae; Streptophyta; Magnoliopsida; Poales; Poaceae.